AGCUGAUGGUCUCAUCAUGGACUGUAGGGGGACCUCUAACUUUAAUAAUGUGAAUGUCUCUACAGUCUGAACCACUAAUUAGCAUGAUGUAUUCAGAUCAUCAGUCCCUCCCACUUCACUGACAUGUUGAAUAUGGUGGAACCUGCCGUGGUCUACUGAUUGUCAUCUAUUCAUCUAUGUGACACUCCUCUUGUUUUAUAUACAUUGAUACCAGACUCUUUCCAGCACUCUCACAUAUAACGUGAUCAAACAUGUUCACAUUUCUCUUCUCUGUUACUGUCUCACUGCUCUGUGCUGCAGGUCUUGUUGAGGGGAGUGAAGUCAAUCAGACACCCACCAUACUCUGGGGACCGAAAGACAGUGAUGCUCAGAUUAAUUGCAGUCACACUAAGGGAGCUACCUACAACCAGAUGUACUGGUACAGACAGCUUCCAGGAGAGGGAAUGAAGCAGGUAGUUUACACAAGUAGUUACAGCGAUCCAGAAUAUGGAGACUUCA
Non-coding RNA from Oncorhynchus mykiss (rainbow trout), 498 nucleotides. NCBI's taxonomy places the organism in Eukaryota, Metazoa, Chordata, Actinopteri, Salmoniformes, Salmonidae. The record is from RefSeq and is a predicted model, not a curated record.